RNAcentral lists this long non-coding RNA (2485 nucleotides) under Paramuricea clavata. Lineage: Eukaryota; Metazoa; Cnidaria; Anthozoa; Malacalcyonacea; Plexauridae. The record is from RNAcentral.
GGGGCAUUUGAGGGAAAUGGCGACUUUCGCAUCAUGUUGUCAAAAUGCAACAACUUCGGCUUGUAUAGGAUUCUUUCUACAGUGUUAUUUUCAUUUUGUUUGUGAAUCCAAUACAAGUCAAGAUACCUAUUAAAAAUCGUAUGUUUUUUGUUUUUGACAAAAUGUGCUAGAAAAGAUAAUAUUAUUCCUUUUACAAAGGCAUGCACGCAAUAAAAUAUUCGAUGUUGGAAAGUAUAUGCGAAAGACAGUUAGGCUGUUGGCAGUUGAAGAGGAAAACAAAAAUGCAAUAUAUACAGCUCAGGACCUUAAGCGAUUAGAUUCCAAGGUAAGAAAGGUUUUACAUAUCUCUUGUAUUUUUUGUAAUCGAGUUUCUGAUUUAUCAUGGUCUUUUAUUCAAUAUAUAUCUUCAUAUUAUGAACUGAGCCCAUCUUGAUCGUGCUAUACACUGGUUUAUUCUUGUCAUAAUGAUAAAUUUAUAUUCGCGCACAAUUUUUGUCUACCACAGUACUUAUUGAACUUGAAGCUCACAAUUGGGUUGGCUUUAAAUAGUAUACAGUUUAUAGUUUAAUAAUUAAAAAUAGAUAUGCUAUAAGUGAUAUAAAACAAACUAUUAUCUAGUCUAAUGGGUUAGCAUAUUUGCAAAAUUGUAAAGCACCUUAACACUUAGAACUGUUAAGGUGCUUUACAAUUUUGCAAAUAUGCUAACCCAUUAGACUAGAUAAUAGUUUGUUUUAAAAGUGUUAAGGUGCUUUACAAUUUUGCAAAUAUGCUAACCCAUUAGACUAGAUAAUAGUUUGUUUUAUAUCACUUAUAGCAUAUCUAUUUUUAAUUAUUAAACUAUAAACUGUAUACUAUUUAAAGCCAACCCAAUUGUGAGCUUCAAGUUCAAUAAAUACUGUGGUAGACAAAAUUAAUAAACUCCCGGAAAGUAGCAUGGUAUAUGAAAGGUACAUCCCGACUGCUAGUUGCUCACACACUUUGAAUAUUAUUGUGUCCUCUGGCUGGAAUCGGCCCUGCAAUCCUGGUGCAAUUGCAGCAUUCUAACCAUCAAAACUGAGCUACAGAGUCCAGUUGUCAAGCUGGAAUUCAUGUGUGUAUACUUGGGUACUGCUGUGUUAGUAUCGCUAAAUACCAAAAUUGAAACCUAUAACCUUUAAAACAUAUUAAUAUUUACUGAUACAUUGACAAGGCAGUAACCAGUAUAUAUACUUGUGGUUAGAGCUCGACAUUUGGACUCUGUACUGUAGUUCAGUUGUUUAGGACACUAGGCCUAUAUAUUAUUCUAAGAGAUUCUGUUGGCAUCCCACUCAUUAUAAUAGUUGAAGGGUCUUGGACAUGGAAAUUGUCGAGUGGAAAUUUAUAGACACUUAUUAUUCCAAAACAAGGAACAGCUGUGAAAAAAAGCAACUGUAGGUCCCUGGCCGGAAUUAGACCUACGAUUCCAGUGCAGCACUCUAACCAACAGAGGCCAGUUGUCGAGCUCUCUUAUGGGUUAGGGUCAUGGCAGUACCUUUUUAGUAUUAUAUAUGUAUAUAGUACCUUAAUUAGUAUAUAUGUAAUAUACAGUAAUGCAUGAACAGGCCUUAGUCCAGCACUGCAGCAUGGCUGCAGGUUCAAUUCCUGCCUGUGACCUAUAGUUGCUUUUCUCACAGUCAUUCCUGAUUAGGUCUAAUAAAUGUUUAUAAAGUUCCACUCAAUAAUUUUGAUGUAAAAGUCUAAGACCUCUCACAUAUCAAUCUAACUAACUAAUGAUUAAACCUACCUUUUAAUUUUCUUUUCCUACAGCUAAUGAUUUAGAUUCAAAAAUUCAAUAGCAAGGAUGAAAGUGGUUUUAAUAGCAAACAACCAAGAAUUGUUCAUGUGACAAGAGCAGCAAAUUGUAGCCAGUCUAACAGUAACUGUUUAACAUGCACAGUCUGUCGAUCCUGGUGAUCAUGAGGAUUUAUCUCAAGUGGCAAAAUUAAUCGACAAAUAGUUUUAGUCACAAAACACAGGAGUUUAAAGAUUCCCAGUAAAGUGCUAAGUGUAUUUAUUAUGCCACACACAGUGCAUGGUAGUAACAUAGAACUAUCUUCAUUUGAAGCUUUGUUUGGUAGCAGGGGCAAAACUACCCCCUUUUAAUUCGGGGUGUCUGCCAGAAUUGCCCUGCCCAAACCGAUGAUGCCCUGCAGCAAAUUUUCAUUUCUGGCCACUGUUUCCCCCAAAAUGCUGGCGAACAGAGGUGGGUGGGUGGGGAGGGGGUGGAAAAUUUUUCUGGACCCCCCCCCUAACUCAAGUUUCGCCCCUGUUUGGUAGGGAUGCAACUACCUGAAAAAUACAAGGACAAUGUUUCGAGCGAAGGCCCUUCGUCGGGAAGUUUGUUGCGGGGUCUGGAAAAUUACAUGAGCUUUUAUGAUCAUGUGACAAAAAUUAAACCAAUCAGAUGCAUUUAGUCAUAACAAAGUAUAUACGAAAAAUAUUAAUAACAAUAUAGAAUAUAUUAAUA